Molecule: ribosomal RNA, 561 nt
Filed under: Aspergillus sydowii
Lineage: Eukaryota; Fungi; Ascomycota; Eurotiomycetes; Eurotiales; Aspergillaceae
Description: partial large subunit ribosomal RNA
Rfam family: Eukaryotic large subunit ribosomal RNA
Source: RNAcentral
GGGGAAUGCCUCAGUACGGCGAGUGAGCGGCAAGAGCUCAAAUUUGAAAUCUGGCCCCUCCGGGGUCCGAGUUGUAAUUUGCAGAGGAUGCUUCGGGUGCGGCCCCUGUCUAAGUGCCCUGGAACGGGCCGUCAGAGAGGGUGAGAAUCCCGUCUUGGGCAGGGUGCCCGUGCCCGUGUGAAGCUCCUUCGACGAGUCGAGUUGUUUGGGAAUGCAGCUCAAAAUGGGUGGUAAAUUUCAUCUAAAGCUAAAUACCGGCCGGAGACCGAUAGCGCACAAGUAGAGUGAUCGAAAGAUGAAAAGCACUUUGAAAAGAGAGUUAAACAGCACGUGAAAUUGUUGAAAGGGAAGCGCUUGCAACCAGACUCGGCCUCGGGGUUCAGCCAGCAUUCGUGCUGGUGUACUUCCCCGGGGCCGGGCCAGCGUCGGUUUGGGCGGCCGGUCAAAGGCCCCAGGAAUGUAUCGUCCUCCGGGACGUCUUAUAGCCUGGGGUGCAAUGCGGCCAGCCUGGACCGAGGAACGCGCUUCGGCACGGACGCUGGCGUAAUGGUCGCAAACGAC